UCAUGAAAAAGUGCAUCAUUGGUCCUCAAUUUCUUAUCCCCUCUUGAGCAGCACCGUUUUCCAUGUAACUUUGCAGUGCUGUGGGUGGGCAGCAUGUCCUGCCCCUUGGCAGAAAGCAGAUGGCUCCCCCAUAUGACUUGCUUCGGGCAGUGGGGUGUCAGCAGACGUGACGCUUCUGUGACGCACUUGGGCUGGCUCUUGCCUCUUACCACUGCGGUGAGAACGUGGCUGGACAGCCUUCGGGAGAUGAGAGACACACGGAGCAGAGCCAAGUUUCUCCUAUCACCCCAUCCAGCUCAGCUACAUCAGCCAAGGUCAGCCUACAUCAGCCAGCAACUGUGGAACCCCACAGACAUCCACACAGAACUCCUCGUCUCUGAAAGCCUCUGCUCUUCCCAGCCUCCACGCCUCUGGGCACCUGUCCCCUGCCUGGAAAGCCCUUCUCAUCAUCUUUCUCCUGCAAACUCGUACUCCACCUGGAUGAACGGGCUCAGAUGCCACCCACUCUGCGAAACCAGUUCAGAGCCCCCUCCCUCACCCUCUGGAAGCCCCCCGGGGUGCCAGCCAGCACCUUCUCUGGGCCCCGCAGGAACUGUCACAGGCCGAUGUCACAGCUUCAACCACUCAGCGCAAGAACUGUACCCCACUGUCUUUUCAUCUCUGGGUCCCAGGUCCCAGAGCCCCUUAGGCGUAGGGCGGCGUCCCUGAGUGGUCACGGAGCAAACAUUAGGAUGGUGCAAGAGUAAUUGCGGUUUGGCCACAGAGGAACAAGCGCGCGGCGCCCGGCUCUUAUGCCACCCUGAGUGCGUCUCCCCUCGCCGCCCUGGCUGAGCCCUCGCCCAGAAGUAAGAGGAUGUGGUAUCCCCGUGCGGCCGCACUCCCAGGACAGCAGAGAUCUCUGCGUCCUCAGGCCGGCGGCCCCCGGAGGAGCAGCAGGCUGGAAAGGGAAGGGAAUGUUAUUAAAGUCAUCAGUUCUGGCGCCCGGGCCCUAGGGAGCCGAGCUUGGCUCGUAAUUAGGGUCGUUAAGGGAGACCGAGCCGGCGUGGGCGCGAAGCAGCCGGAGCCCAG
This is a long non-coding RNA of Callithrix jacchus (white-tufted-ear marmoset), 1068 nucleotides long. Lineage: Eukaryota; Metazoa; Chordata; Mammalia; Primates; Cebidae. The record is from Ensembl.